ACUGGUGGCGGUUGGAUGUGGUUCCUAUAACUACGCAUAUUUUUUGAUUGUGGGACUGCGUACGCGUUGUCCCUGUUUUUCUAUUACUUUCAUACCACUGGAAAAUAGCGUAUGGGCAAAGUUGAAUGCAGUUCGGAGUCAUAUAUUGAAUUGAACUGCACUUAUAUGACAGGUUCGGACGUCUAUUAGCAUAAAUUAUUAAAAUAUUAUCAUAUAUUUAUUGCAUAUAAACAUCUUACUUUACUUACGUUACAUCUUACUUGUAUUCUAUUAAUAUAAAAAUGUUUUAAACUAAUGUAAUUAUAUCUCGCUAGAUUAUAAAAGUUAUGACUGUUU
Molecule: long non-coding RNA, 336 nt
Organism: Harpegnathos saltator (Jerdon's jumping ant)
Lineage: Eukaryota; Metazoa; Arthropoda; Insecta; Hymenoptera; Formicidae
Exons: 2
Source: RefSeq, a predicted model, not a curated record